AGAGUUUGAUCCUGGCUCAGGAUGAACGCUGGCGGCGUGCCUAAUACAUGCAAGUCGAGCGAACGGACGAGAAGCUUGCUUCUCUAAUGUUAGCGGCGGACGGGUGAGUAACACGUGGAUAACCUACCUAUAAGACUGGGAUAACUUCGGGAAACCGGAGCUAAUACCGGAUAAUAUUUCGAACCGCAUGGUUCAAAAGUGAAAGACGGUCUUGCUGUCACUUAUAGAUGGAUCCGCGCUGCAUUAGCUAGUUGGUAAGGUAACGGCUUACCAAGGCAACGAUGCAUAGCCGACCUGAGAGGGUGAUCGGCCACACUGGAACUGAGACACGGUCCAGACUCCUACGGGAGGCAGCAGUAGGGAAUCUUCCGCAAUGGGCGAAAGCCUGACGGAGCAACGCCGCGUGAGUGAUGAAGGUCUUCGGAUCGUAAAACUCUGUUAUUAGGGAAGAACAUAUGUGUAAGUAACUGUGCACAUCUUGACGGUACCUAAUCAGAAAGCCACGGCUAACUACGUGCCAGCAGCCGCGGUAAUACGUAGGUGGCAAGCGUUAUCCGGAAUUAUUGGGCGUAAAGCGCGCGUAGGCGGUUUUUUAAGUCUGAUGUGAAAGCCCACGGCUCAACCGUGGAGGGUCAUUGGAAACUGGAAAACUUGAGUGCAGAAGAGGAAAGUGGAAUUCCAUGUGUAGCGGUGAAAUGCGCAGAGAUAUGGAGGAACACCAGUGGCGAAGGCGACUUUCUGGUCUGUAACUGACGCUGAUGUGCGAAAGCGUGGGGAUCAAACAGGAUUAGAUUCCCUGGUAGUCCACGCCGUAAACGAUGAGUGCUAAGUGUUAGGGGGUUUCCGCCCCUUAGUGCUGCAGCUAACGCAUUAAGCACUCCGCCUGGGGAGUACGACCGCAAGGUUGAAACUCAAAGGAAUUGACGG
RNAcentral lists this ribosomal RNA (927 nucleotides) under Staphylococcus aureus. RNAcentral's name for it is "bacterial SSU rRNA". It matches the Rfam family "Bacterial small subunit ribosomal RNA", at positions 8 to 916 of the family's 1533-position model. The record is from RNAcentral. Lineage: Bacteria; Bacillati; Bacillota; Bacilli; Caryophanales; Staphylococcaceae.